UACAGAGGUCCCAAGCGUUGUUCGGAUUCACUGGGCGUAAAGGGUGCGCAGGUGGUUUGGCAAGUUUGACGUGAAAGCCCCGGGCUUAACCCGGGAAUGGCGUUGAAAACUGCUUGAACUGGAGGGUCGGAGGGGGGACUGGAAUUCUUGGUGUAGCAGUGAAAUGCGUAGAUAUCAAGAGGAACACCAGCGGCGAAGGCGAGUCCCUGGACGAUACCUGACACUGAGGCACGAAAGCCAAGGGAGCAAACAGG
RNAcentral lists this ribosomal RNA (254 nucleotides) under uncultured bacterium. RNAcentral's name for it is "partial 16S ribosomal RNA". It matches the Rfam family "Bacterial small subunit ribosomal RNA", at positions 524 to 776 of the family's 1533-position model. The record is from RNAcentral.